Ipomoea nil (Japanese morning glory) is the source of this 152-nucleotide long non-coding RNA. RefSeq lists it as uncharacterized. NCBI's taxonomy places the organism in Eukaryota, Viridiplantae, Streptophyta, Magnoliopsida, Solanales, Convolvulaceae. The transcript is spliced from 3 exons. The record is from RefSeq and is a predicted model, not a curated record.
AUAUAUAUAUAUAUCUCUUUUAAAAGAAGAUAAGGACAGUUGACUAGAGAGAUAGGGGAAGGAAAAAUCUUGAAGCUUUGAUCUCCAUCUUCUUCAAGUUUAGGUCUCAAGUUAUUGGGAGUAUUCUAGGGAUUUUGACAAGGAGUAUUUGG